This 432-nucleotide ribosomal RNA is filed under the name uncultured bacterium. Its description in RNAcentral is "partial 16S ribosomal RNA". It matches the Rfam family "Bacterial small subunit ribosomal RNA", at positions 355 to 779 of the family's 1533-position model. The record is from RNAcentral.
UGGGGAAUUUUGGACAAUGGGCGAAAGCCUGAUCCAGCAAUGCCGCGUGUGUGAAGAAGGCCUUCGGUUGUAAGCACUUUUGUCCGGAAAGAAAUCCUUGGCUCUAAUACAGUCGGGGGGAUGACGGUACCGGAAGAAUAAGCACCGGCUAACUACGUGCCAGCAGCCGCGGUAAUACGUAGGGUGCAAGCGUUAAUCGGAAUUACUGGGCGUAAAGCGUGCGCAGGCGGUUUGCUAAGACCGAUGUGAAAUCCCCGGGCUCAACCUGGGGAACUGCAUUGGUGACUGGCAGGCUAGAGUAUGGCAGAGGGGGUAGAAUUCCACGUGUGAGCAGUGAAAUGCGUAGAGAUGUGGAGGAAUACCGAUGGCGAAGGAGCCCCCUGGGCCAAUACUGACGCUCAUGCACGAAAGCGUGGGGGAGCAAACAGGAUU